This 548-nucleotide ribosomal RNA is filed under the name Iselma rubripennis. Its description in RNAcentral is "partial 16S ribosomal RNA". It matches the Rfam family "Bacterial large subunit ribosomal RNA", at positions 1797 to 2619 of the family's 2925-position model. Lineage: Eukaryota; Metazoa; Arthropoda; Insecta; Coleoptera; Meloidae. The record is from RNAcentral.
CGCCUGUUUAUCAAAAACAUGUCCUUUUGUUAAUUAUUUAAGGUCUGGCCUGCUCAAUGACUUGUUAAAUAGCCGCAGUAUUUUGACUGUGCAAAGGUAGCAUAAUCAUUAGUUUUUUAAUUGAAAGCUGGAAUGAAUGGUUGGAUGAGGAAGUGACUGUCUCAUUUUUAUUUUAUUGAAUUUUAUUUUUAAGUUAUAAAGCUUAAAUGUUAUAGAAAGACGAGAAGACCCUAUAGAGUUUAAUAAGUUAUGACUCGAUUUUUUUAGGUUUUAAUUUUUAAUUAGGUUUAAUCUUAUUUUGUUGGGGUGAUGUGAAAAUUGGUGUAACUUUUCAUUAUUUUUACAUUGAUUUGUGAUUAGUUGAUCCUGAAGUUUUGGAUUUUAAGUAUAAAUUACCUUAGGGAUAACAGCGUGAUUCUUUUAGAGAGUUCUAAUCGAUAAGAGAGAUUGCGACCUCGAUGUUGGAUUAAAGUUAAUUUUUGGUGCAGAAGCUGAGAUUUUAAGUCUGUUCGACUUUUAAAACUUUACGUGAUCUGAGUUUAGACCGG